RNAcentral lists this ribosomal RNA (440 nucleotides) under uncultured bacterium. Its description in RNAcentral is "partial 16S ribosomal RNA". It matches the Rfam family "Bacterial small subunit ribosomal RNA", at positions 338 to 795 of the family's 1533-position model. The record is from RNAcentral.
CCUACGGGGGGUAGCAGUGGGGGAUAUUGCACAAUGGGGGAAACCCUGAUGCAGCGACGCCGCGUGGGUGAAGAAGCGCCUCGGCGCGUAAAGCCCUGUCAGCAGGGAAGAAAAUGACGGUACCUGAAGAAGAAGCCCCGGCUGACUACGUGCCAGCAGCCGCGGUAAUACGGGGGGGGCAAGCGUUAUCCGGAUUUACUGGGUGUAAAGGGGGCGCAGACGGCGAUGCAAGCCAGGAGUGAAAGCCCGGGGCCCAACCCCGGGACUGCUCUUGGAACUGCGUGGCUAGAGUGCAGGAGGGGCAGGCGGAAUGCCUGGUGUAGCGGUGAAAUGCGUAGAUAUCAGGAGGAACACCGGUGGCGAAGGCGGCCUGCUGGACUGCAACUGACGUUGAGGCCCGAAAGCGUGGGGAGCAAACAGGAUUAGAUACCCGAGUAGUC